Molecule: ribosomal RNA, 799 nt
Filed under: marine metagenome
Description: bacterial SSU rRNA
Rfam family: Bacterial small subunit ribosomal RNA
Source: RNAcentral
CAAUUGCGAAGGCAGCUUUCUGGAUCAUUACUGACACUGAGGAACGAAAGCAUGGGUAGCGAAGAGGAUUAGAUACCCUCGUAGUCCAUGCCGUAAACGAUGUGUGUUAGACGUUGGAAAUUUAUUUUCAGUGUCGCAGCAAAAGCGAUAAACACACCGCCUGGGGAGUACGACCGCAAGGUUAAAACUCAAAUGAAUUGACGGGGACCCGCACAAGUAGUGGAGCAUGUGGUUUAAUUCGAAGAUACGCGCAGAACCUUACCAACACUUGACAUGUUCGUCGCGACUCUAAGAGAUUAGAGUUUUCGGUUCGGCCGGACGAAACACAGGUGCUGCAUGGCUGUCGUCAGCUCGUGUCGUGAGAUGUUGGGUUAAGUCCCGCAACGAGCGCAACCCUCACUUUUAGUUGCCAUCAUUUAGUUGGGCACUCUGAAAGAACUGCCAGUGAUAAGCUGGAGGAAGGUGGGGAUGACGUCAAGUCCUCAUGGCCCUUACGUGUUGGGCUACACACGUGCUACAAUGGUAUCUACAACAGGAAGCAAGACGGCGACGUCAAGCAAAUCCUUAAAAGAUACCUCAGUUCGGAUUGCACUCUGCAACUCGAGUGCAUGAAGCUGGAAUUACUAGUAAUCGUGGAUCAGCGUGCCACGGUGAAUGCGUUCCCGGGUCUUGUACACACCGCCCGUCACACCAUGGGAGUUGGUUCUACCUUAAGGCAAGGUUUUAAACCCUUGACCACGGUAUAGUCAGCGACUGGGGUGAAGUCGUAACAAGGUAGCCGUAGGGGAACCUGCGGCUG